Molecule: transfer RNA, 69 nt
Filed under: Halicryptus spinulosus
Lineage: Eukaryota; Metazoa; Priapulida; Priapulimorpha; Priapulimorphida; Priapulidae
Description: transfer RNA-Lys
Source: RNAcentral
CAUUAAGUGACUGAUAGGAAGUGCCGGUCUCUUAAACCGGGUUAUGGUAGUUUCGUUUACCCUUAAUGG